Molecule: long non-coding RNA, 452 nt
Filed under: Homo sapiens (human)
Lineage: Eukaryota; Metazoa; Chordata; Mammalia; Primates; Hominidae
Description: FSIP2 antisense RNA 1, transcript variant 2 (FSIP2-AS1)
Source: RNAcentral
CAGUACAUGAAUCACUCCUACUAAGAGAUCCUGAAAGAGGUCAUCAAAGCCACCAGAAACUAUUCCUGGACAGAGGAGGUUUUAUAGGUGUGGUUGGUCUCCUUACUGACGUGUCAACUACAAAUGCACAGGGUUCUGCCUGAAAUGUUUUAGUUGUUGCAGAUGUGUAGCUUCUAUAUGUAAAGUCUUCACUGCACGUGCUACAGAAACUUGAACUAUCUGAAGAGAGGAUGGAGUCAUCAGAUACUGGAUCCAGUCAAAAUAUUUGGAUGCUUUCAGAAACAUCUGCCUAGCUGAGAUGUGGGGAAGGAACAUAAAGCAUUUUCUCUCCCAGUCCCUGCUGAAAGGGUGAGCCUGUGGUCUAUAUAUAUAGGAAUGACUAAAGUUAAUUGUUAAGAAUUAUUUGAUAGGCAAAAAUAAAAGCUAAUGCUUUAUAUAGAAAAAAAAAAAAA